Molecule: long non-coding RNA, 1350 nt
Filed under: Bemisia tabaci
Lineage: Eukaryota; Metazoa; Arthropoda; Insecta; Hemiptera; Aleyrodidae
Description: lncRNA ENSSSA1NGG005517
Source: RNAcentral
AUGGACCCAACACCGUCAUAUCUUGAUGAAAAUCCUGCAAUGGGUCCUACAUGCUCAGAAGCCAUAGCAAACUUGGAGGCAAUCAUGAACUCAGCUCAAGACUGCUUACAAAAACUUCAAUCCGUCUGCUCUGGAACCCCAACAACUGAAGAAUCUCCUUCAAAAAAGCAGAAAUCCUCUAAUGAAAGUGCUUCAACUGAAUGUGACUCUGGUCUUGGAAGCACUGUUUCAACUUUGAAUCUGGGAGAAAAUCUCCCAGAUUCAAAUCAGGAAAUGGAAAUUUGCGAUCAGGAAGCCUCUCUUAAACCUGAAAGAAACAUACAUUCUUCCGAGGCCACUGAUAAUCUUGAACCCUCCUCCACUUCUUUUCCUCAUGAUGUACCCAUGCACUCAACAAAUAUUCAAUGGAAUAAAAGUGCUGAAAAGUUAGAUGAUCCAACCCAACUUAUUGCAUCUUCAACUCAGACACCUAUAGAAGAAGCUAUCUCAAAAUACGUAGAAAGACGUUUUGUCCUUGUGGGUUCACCAAUGGAUAGAAGUUAUGAGGUUCGACCGUACCUCAAACUGAGAAAAAACUUAGCCCAUCCACGGAAAACAUAUCUACUUCCUCAAUGUUCUCCUGGUAAAUCUCCUGGUAAAUUUUCCCCUCAAAAAAACAGUCCUUCAAGACGCACAAGUAUUUUGCAGCCGUUAUCGGCAUCACCCUCCACAGCUGAUUAUUUUGAUCGAAAACACUCUGAUUGUUCCUCGUCUCCUCGGAGGUUUGCAAGUGAUCUUCUCACUUUAUUGAAAACGCCGUUUUCAAGUGAUCUGUUCAGUAAAAAGUCUGGGCUUGUUGACAAUCUAAAAGAAAAGCAGAUAGAAGACAGCAGAGAUGCAAGUGCAUCUAAGAAAGUUAACCCGGGACCUGUUCAAUUUGAUAAAAGAAAACGGAAACGAAAAACUCCGUUUAUCUAUUUGAAGAAGUUCACCAAGCCCAAAAAAAACAGCUCAGUCGGAGAUAUGCUAAGCCCUCCUGAAGAGUACGAGGUAGAAUAUAUUGAGUCCCACAAAAUUCUCGAGAAUAACGAGUGCAUGUUUUUUGUCAAGUGGAUCGGAUGGGACGCAAGCGAUAAUACCUGGGAGCCAAUCACUAAUCUACUCAAUUGCCAAGAAAAGCUAGUCGGCUAUUUCGAACAACUGCUCAGAUCUAAUGAGCACAAACAAAUAUCGCUUCUCCGAAAAAACGCCAACCUAAGAGAAUUGAGACAAACCUUAUCCCGAACAUCCGAAGAAGAACUCAACCAAUUGCUAUCAACUUACCGCUCUUCACUGGUAUCAAAUUGCCUGUCCCAAACAGAGAUUUCAUAG